Molecule: ribosomal RNA, 204 nt
Filed under: uncultured Cortinarius
Lineage: Eukaryota; Fungi; Basidiomycota; Agaricomycetes; Agaricales; Cortinariaceae
Description: partial 28S ribosomal RNA
Rfam family: Eukaryotic large subunit ribosomal RNA
Source: RNAcentral
GUGACCUCAAAUCAGGUAGAACUACCCGCUGAACUUAAGCAUAUCAAUAAGCUGAGGAAAAGAAACUAACAAGGAUUCCCCUAGUAACUGCGAGUGAAGCGGGAAAAGCUCAAAUUUAAAAUCUGACAGUCUUUGGCUGUCCGAGUUGUAAUCUAGAGAAGUGUUAUCCGCGCUGGACCGUGUACAAGUCUCCUGGAAUGGAGC